ACUCAAAGGAAUAGACGGGGGCCCGCACAAGCGGUGGAGCAUGUGGAUUAAUUCGACGCAACGCGAAGAACCUUACCAAGGCUUGACAUCCCGAUGACCGGUAUAGAGAUAUACCUUUUCUUCGGAACAUCGGUGACAGGUGGUGCAUGGUUGUCGUCAGCUCGUGUCGUGAGAUGUUGGGUUAAGUCCCGCAACGAGCGCAACCCUUGUCUUUAGUAGCCAGCACAUAAUGGUGGGCACUCUAGAGAGACUGCCGUGGAUAACACGGAGGAAGGUGGGGAUGACGUCAAAUCAUCAUGCCCUUUAUGUCUUGGGCUUCACACGUGCUACAAUGGCGGUAACAAAGUGACGCAAGCAGGCAACUGUAAGCAAAGCACAAAAAAGCCGUCUCAGUUCGGAUUGGGGUCUGCAACUCGACCCCAUGAAGUUGGAAUCGCUAGUAAUCGUGAAUCAGCAUGUCACGGUGAAUACGUUCCCGGGCCUUGUACACACCGCCCGU
This 499-nucleotide ribosomal RNA is filed under the name uncultured bacterium. RNAcentral's name for it is "bacterial SSU rRNA". It matches the Rfam family "Bacterial small subunit ribosomal RNA", at positions 899 to 1397 of the family's 1533-position model. The record is from RNAcentral.